RNAcentral lists this ribosomal RNA (274 nucleotides) under uncultured bacterium. RNAcentral's name for it is "partial 16S ribosomal RNA". It matches the Rfam family "Bacterial small subunit ribosomal RNA", at positions 523 to 796 of the family's 1533-position model. The record is from RNAcentral.
AUACGGAGGGUGCAAGCGUUAAUCGGAAUUACUGGGCGUAAAGCGUACGUAGGCGGUUCGUUAAGUUAGAUGUGAAAGCCCCGGGCUUUACCUGGGAACUGCAUUUAAAACUGGCGGACUAGAGUUGAGUAGAGGGGAGUGGAAUUUCAGGUGUAGCGGUGAAAUGCGUAGAGAUCUGAAGGAACACCAGUGGCGAAGGCGACUCCCUGGACUCGAACUGACGCUGAGGUACGAAAGCGUGGGUAGCAAACGGGAUUAGAUACCCCAGUAGUCC